AGUUUGGUCAAAAAUAAUAAACCUAAAAGAAAAUGGAAAUUUUAGGGCAUUUUGUGUUAAAUGCCUAAUUUUACCGAAAUGGGGAAUUUUAUUCCAUGAAUGGACCUUAGGUUAAAUUUUACUAUGUGAUUAAUUAAAUUAAAUGUGAGAGACAUUUAAUUUAAUUAAUUAAUGUUAAGUUUGGUGAUUAAAACUUAAUAAGAGUGAAAAAAAAAGGUGUCAAAAGCCAAUUUGGACUUUUCUUCUUAUGAAACCUUUAUUAACCUUUAAUAAAAAAAAAAAAUUAAAAAAAUAAUGAAAUGAUCAUAUAUGGCAAAGGGUGGCCAGCCAUGUGGUGUUUUAGAGUGGUGUGAACCCAAUUCUAUAAAGUUUAACUCCCAUUUUAAUUAAGAAGUCAAGUGGGCAAGUGGGUAGAAAAGCACUCAAGUGUUUUGUGAUAUUUUGAAGAGUUGUGUGAGCCAUUCUAACCCCCAAAUCCGACCACUCUCCCUCUCUCAUUCACUCUCAUCUGAUUUUUUUAAGACCAUUCAAAGUGUUCUCUCAAUAUUCAACCUCAAGAACACCAAGGAAAACUUGGAGGCUAAGUCUUGGUCUAGGAAGUAUUUUCCCUAAGUUGGUUAGGGUUUUUGAAAGGUUUUGGAGGAGCCAAAGCUAAUAGGAAGGUCCAAACCUUAAGCAAGAACACCAAAGAGUAUUGGCUAAGCGUAACUGGACUGAACGUUGGAGGGUGAAAACUUGCUGAGCGCUAAGGACUCAAAGUCAGUGCAAGGGCAAGGCAGAGCAGUGAGCGCUGGAGUCUUCCUUGCAAAUGUACAUGUGGACCGACCUUUUGGGAAGCCUUUUUAUUUUUGGAAAUGUUGUGUAAUUUUCCUAAACUAGGCUCACUCUAAUCUUUAUAAAACAUGUUUGUAAUUAAAUGUUA
This is a long non-coding RNA of Humulus lupulus (European hop), 922 nucleotides long. RefSeq lists it as uncharacterized. The transcript is spliced from 4 exons. Lineage: Eukaryota; Viridiplantae; Streptophyta; Magnoliopsida; Rosales; Cannabaceae. The record is from RefSeq and is a predicted model, not a curated record.